GGGCUCGAAAUGCAGGAGACCGGGGUGGAAACAUCCCUUCCCCUUAAAAGGCUGCUGCAGUAGGUGCUGCAUGGCUGUCGUCAGCUCGUGUCGUGAGAUGUUGGGUUAAGUCCCGCAACGAGCGCAACCCUUAUCCCUAGUUGCCAUCGGGUCAAGCCGGGCACUCUAGUGAAACUGCCUCGGAUAACGAGGAGGAAGGUGGGGAUGACGUCAAGUCCUCAUGGCCUUUAUGUCCAGGGCUACACACGUGCUACAAUGGUCGGUACAAACCGUCGCAAACCCGUGAGGGGGAGCUAAUCGGAAAAAGCCGGCCUCAGUUCGGAUUGGAGUCUGCAACUCGACUCCAUGAAGCUGGAAUCGCUAGUAAUCGCGGAUCAGAACGCCGCGGUGAAUACGUUCCCGGGCCUUGUACACACCGCCCGUCACAUCACGAAAGUGGGCCGUACUAGAAGCAGGUGUGCUAACCGCAAGGAGGCAGCCUUCCAAGGUACAGCUCAUGAUUGGGGUGAAGUCGUAACAAGGUAAGCGUAGUGCU
This 535-nucleotide ribosomal RNA is filed under the name uncultured bacterium. RNAcentral describes it as "bacterial SSU rRNA". It matches the Rfam family "Bacterial small subunit ribosomal RNA", at positions 977 to 1509 of the family's 1533-position model. The record is from RNAcentral.